Molecule: ribosomal RNA, 486 nt
Filed under: uncultured bacterium
Lineage: Bacteria
Description: partial 16S ribosomal RNA
Rfam family: Bacterial small subunit ribosomal RNA
Source: RNAcentral
AUUGAACGCUGGCGGCAUGCCUUACACAUGCAAGUCGAACGGCAGCACGGGUGCUUGCACCUGGUGGCGAGUGGCGAACGGGUGAGUAAUACAUCGGAACAUGUCCUGUAGUGGGGGAUAGCCCGGCGAAAGCCGGAUUAAUACCGCAUACGAUCCACGGAUGAAAGCGGGGGACCUUCGGGCCUCGCGCUAUAGGGUUGGCCGAUGGCUGAUUAGCUAGUUGGUGGGGUAAAGGCCUACCAAGGCGACGAUCAGUAGCUGGUCUGAGAGGACGACCAGCCACACUGGGACUGAGACACGGCCCAGACUCCUACGGGAGGCAGCAGUGGGGAAUUUUGGACAAUGGGUGAAAGCCUGAUCCAGCAAUGCCGCGUGUGUGAAGAAGGCCUUCGGGUUGUAAAGCACUUUUGUCCGGAAAGAAAUCCUUGACUCUAAUACAGUCGGGGGAUGACGGUACCGGAAGAAUAAGCACCGGCUAACUACGUG